RNAcentral lists this ribosomal RNA (472 nucleotides) under uncultured bacterium. RNAcentral's name for it is "bacterial SSU rRNA". It matches the Rfam family "Bacterial small subunit ribosomal RNA", at positions 335 to 798 of the family's 1533-position model. The record is from RNAcentral.
ACUCCUACGGGAGGCAGCAGUGGGGAAUAUUGCACAAUGGGCGCAAGCCUGAUGCAGCCAUGCCGCGUGUAUGAAGAAGGCCUUCGGGUUGUAAAGUACUUUCAGCAGUGAGGAAGGUGGAUAUGUUAAUAGCAUAUUCAUUUGACGUUAGCUGCAGAAGAAGCACCGGCUAACUCCGUGCCAGCAGCCGCGGUAAUACGGAGGGUGCGAGCGUUAAUCGGAAUUACUGGGCGUAAAGCGCAUGCAGGUGGUUUGUUAAGUCAGAUGUGAAAGCCCGGGGCUCAACCUCGGAAUUGCAUUUGAAACUGGCAAACUAGAGUACUGUAGAGGGGGGUAGAAUUUCAGGUGUAGCGGUGAAAUGCGUAGAGAUCUGAAGGAAUACCGGUGGCGAAGGCGGCCCCCUGGACAGAUACUGACACUCAGAUGCGAAAGCGUGGGGAGCAAACAGGAUUAGAUACCCUGGUAGCUCUGC